GCCGCGGUAAUACGUAGGUGGCAAGCGUUGUCCGGAAUUAUUGGGCGUAAAGCGCGCGCAGGCGGCUUCUUAAGUCCAUCUUAAAAAGUGCGGGGCUUAACCCCGUGAUGGGAUGGAAACUGAGAGGCUGGAGUAUCGGAGAGGAAAGUGGAAUUCCUAGUGUAGCGGUGAAAUGCGUAGAGAUUAGGAAGAACACCGGUGGCGAAAGGGCGACUUUCUGGACGACAACUGACGCUGAGGCGCGAAAGCGUGGGGAGCAA
Molecule: ribosomal RNA, 260 nt
Filed under: uncultured bacterium
Lineage: Bacteria
Description: partial 16S ribosomal RNA
Rfam family: Bacterial small subunit ribosomal RNA
Source: RNAcentral